CAACAUCCAUCAGGAUAUUGAAAAAUCCAGUGGUUUUCCACCUCUCCCCUCGUCUGCCUCCUCUCUCCUCUACUCUAUUUCCGUCUCCAUCAACACAGCAAUUGACUAUCCAUCACUAUUGUUCAAGAAAACCAAAUCCCAAUGCUCUGCAAUUUCAGGAAGAAAUGGAGAAAUGGAAUAUCCAUCAGUUUCAAGGGGCUCUUGCCGUCGAUUCGACAACUAUCAAGGUUCAAACCGACGGGUCCAAGCCUCUUCGCCCCCAAUCCAUCACUUCUCCUUAAUAUCAGUCGAAAAGGUGACCCCUUUCUCUUCAUUGUUGAUCUCUCUGAUUAUCUCCUGCAAUUGGUGUUCUCAAGAACAUCAAAAUUCAAAUUUGAUUUUUUUUCUCCAAGAGUCGUUGCAGUUUGGCCUAUAAAAGGGGGCUUUGUUCACGCUUAUGAAAAAACUUAAGAGAAAAGUGAUAGAGAAUUGGGGGAAUAUAUUGAGUUCUUUCAUACUCUUCCAUUCACUAACUUCUCUAUUAUCUUUGUUUUCUUUCUUUCGGUCCCCGACGAAUUUCUACCGCUUUUCAUUGUUUCGUCCUGACACCUAAGGUAGAAGUUGGUGGUGAAGAGCCUUUUAGACUCCUCGUCGUCUCAGCUCACUAAACCAUAAAAGGUAACCUCUCUUCCUCCCUUUCUGUUCAAUUGUAUUUUUCCGUUUCUCGUUUCGUUGAUGUCUGGGACUAUAUGGCUUUGUAAUGGCUAAAUCCCUUUUAUAUAUUGUUUAAUUGUAUGUUAAUAUCUGAACAUUUAUUAUAGUCGUUUGCUUAGUCGUUAUGACUGUUGAAAGAGUAUAGACUAAGAGGAGCAUUUUGAUGGAUGUUAAAGGAAGAUGGAGAACGUCACAUGACGUUCGUCGUUUAUCUCCGUCCUCUGCUCGUAAAAUACUCCAAAUAUCCCCAUUCCUAUUUUCUCCUGAUGCUUCAGUUCUCUUCAAGCAAAGAGAUUAUUUUAAGCUCAUGUUUGUGGUUCGUGGCUCUUAUAUUUGUUCGUGCUAAAGAUUUGUUGCUGUUUUUUCUUUAAUUUCCUUGGCAUACUGUUUUAACAUUUAAUCCAAGCAUGGGGUAAGAGGCUGAUCAUAUAUGCAUCAUAGAAUGAAUAAUUACAGCCUUAGAGUGUUUGCUACUCCCACUUCCCUUUUUUCCUAAUUCGUAUAAUUUUUUUCCUUUUCCGUCCGCCCCAUCGAUUUUUUAGAGUACUCCUAUCUAGCUAUUUAGUAGAAAUUUGAGAUGUGGGGAUGUUCAUGUGAGCGUUAUGCAGUAAAAGAAAAUAUACUUUGGUGUUAGUCACUUUCACCUCUCUUUUCCUCAAUAAAUUUUGCAUAAGUUUCUUCCCACCUGUUAUUCCCUCAUGAAUAUCUCAUGUUGUUUUUAUUGCUGCCCUUUUAUUGUCUAAAUUAGUUAUUUUGACUCAAAAUAAGUAUAUGGUUAAGGGAUGCAUCCAUUGACACCACAUAUAGAAGAAGAACACUUCGUGGUGUUCAUUAUUCUAUACCUCUCUUUUCCUCAAAUACUUUGAGCAAGUUCCUCCCCUCACUCCCUUAUGUGAAAGUAUUUUCGUAGCCUAUGUGAUCAGAUUUUUGUUUGAGUUCGAGUGGCCGUUGGUUUUGCUCGACUCCGUACUUGAAUGCGCUCCCAAAAGAGGAUGUUCUAGCCUUUCCUUUUGAUCCGUUUAUGGCUAGAUAUUUCUUUCUAGAAUAUGUCCCUUUGUUCCUUUAUGAACUAAGUAUAUGAUGUGCUUUCCUGGUUGAGCUUGAAGUUUUAUAAAGUUGCAUCCAAGUUUUAAUUAAAGUCUCCAGGCAAGGAUUCCUAAAUGAGAUAGGCUUUAUGGUUAAAACUUGACUUUUUUUCUCUCUUUUGCAUCUGCACUAGUAGCAUAACGUAACGGGAGGCUCAUUUGAGUUUGAAGGAAAGAAGUUAACAUAUUGUAAUGUUUACUUUCACACUUUUCUUCUUGCUGAAACAUACAUGAGAUGUGCCUGACUACAUAUUCCUUUAAAUUAAUAUCAUCUGUGAAUUUUGGUUUUCCUUUUUCUAUGCAUAAAAUGGUAUUUCUAUUUCUUGGGAUCUUUGAAAUAAAAGUAACAAGUUAGGUAUGCACUGUCCAUGAAAUCUUGUCUUCUUUACAUUUGCUAGCUACGAAUAAUGAAUUAGAUGUUUCAAGUUUUAUGAUUAUUUUAACAUCUUUUUUUUUUGGUCGACUAUGAGCUUAUAAGUAUCAUGUUUAACCGAGUCCUUUUUUUUUAUUUUUAGAAACUUGAAUAACUAAUCCUUAUCUUCUCUUUAUUGCAUGAACUCCUUUGUGAGUCCCCCGGACUCCCAUUUCUCACAUUCGGUUGAGUUAAACCCAACCUCCAUCGAGUCAAAGCCUCAACCGAAUUCACAAACGAGCUGGUAUGAAUUGAUAUACUCUGAUAUAUGAUGAAUAUACUCUGAAUUGGUGUUGGGGUGGGGUUAAGAGGGUGUGGGUGUGGGUGUGGGUGUGGGUGUGGGUGUGGGUGUGGGUGUGGGUGUGGGAGUGGGUGGGGAUGGGCUGGGUGGGNNNNNNNNNNNNNNNNNNNNNNNNNNNNNNNNNNNNNNNNNNNNNNNNNNNNNNNNNNNNNNNNNNNNNNNNNNNNNNNNNNNNNNNNNNNNNNNNNNNNNNNNNNNNNNNNNNNNNNNNNNNNNNNNNNNNNNNNNNNNNNNAAAUUAUUUUUAUAUUUUUGAAAAUAUUUUUAAAUUAGUUUUAAAUUUUUAAAUUUAAAAAGAUGGAGGGAAAAAAGGACUCUUUUUAAAUUUUAAUAUUUUUUUAAUUAUUUUAAUGUAAAAUUGAUCAAAAAUUGACCCCCACUCGCACCCUCAGGCAAGUGGCUACACUCUCUUUGUUCUUUGUCCUAAUUACCAUAACCUUGCCACAUAGGCAAGGUCAACGGUCAAAAAGUGUAAAAUGUUACUUUUUGAUGGGUUCAAGGGUCCAGAUGAUAAAUAUGUAAGUAGAAAUGUCCAACUUACAAAAUCGACAUAGAACAGGGGUCCAGAAGGUCAUUUUGCCUAAUUAAUAACAUGGUUAGUUUAUCAUAGUGCCCCUAUUAAAUGAUGUUUACAUUUUAAUUUGAAGAUAAAUUUUUGUCUCUUGUUGAUUAAUGAAAAAGGACAAGUAAAAUAGAAAAUCAAAUUAGGAAAUUUGGGACGGAGGGAGUACGUUGUAUACGCAGUAGUAGUAUAUUGAAAAACGCAGGAAAGAAGCCACUGAUAUACCACAGAUAUACAGGGGUAAAAAAUGGGCUAAAGUUCAUGGAAUUGGUCCAAAAUUGGACAGAUUUUUAAUGGGCCAAAAGGGGCCCAGUUUUCACUCUUCUCUAUUUAAUUAUCCAUUUUUAUUUAUUUAUUUGUAUUUGCUUGAACACCUUAAUUAAUUAAUCUAAGAUAAGUUCCUCAAGGUGUUACCAUUUUUAUUUUAUCUUCAUUUUUGCUAUCUUUACUUAUUUGAAUCUUCCUUUUUUUUUUUUUAAAUAAUAAUAAUAAUAAUAAUAAUAAUAAUAAUAAUAAUAAUAAUAAAGCAAGAGUCAUUUAUGAAUAGUAAAAAACACUUAGCUUUUUGAAAAAGCAAGGGUCGUUUAUAAAUAGUAAAGGCCAAUUGUGAAUAGUAAGGGCCAUUUCUUGUUUUGUCCUUUGUAUAGAGCAUCCAUUAUAUAAGGAGCUCAUUUUUCAUUUUUUAAGGACAGGUUUUAGAACUACCAUUUUUUCUCUACUACUCUCUCUCCCUUGUAAUAUGUAUCUUGGUUUGAAAUAAAAGCUUUUGGUUCUGUGCACAAUUCAUCCAUAUUAUGGUUAUUUUUAAAUUUCUGCAUUUUAAUUUUAAUUGGAGAUGGUAUAAAGAUGUAUUCCUUUCUAGAGUGAUGAAAUUACCUGAGAUUAAUAGUUCUCAUUGGAAGUCCAAGUUUAUAGAUGGUCUUCCCAUGUUAUUUGCUGAAAGAAUUAGGAAAACCUUAGAGAUCCUAAUGUGAGUAUUAACUAUGAGGCUUACAUCUAUGAUUACCUUAUAAAGGUUGUUACUCAAGAAGAUUUAGCUUUAUGUAGUGAGAUUAAGUUAAAUCAAUAGAUUAAGAAGUAUCGUCGUACUGAAAGACAAUAGCUGGGAGAAUUUUGUGAGCAAUUUGCUAUAGAUAUUCCCAAAACCUUUGGAGAAUCUCAUAAAGAGUAAGAAAAAGUACUCUAGGGAGAAAAAAGUCUAAAAAGAUUGAGAAGAAGGGAAAAAGAAAAGAGGAUUACAAAUCCAAUAAAGCUUAUAGAAAGCCAAGAAGGCCAACACUUGUUACCGAUGUGGUAGAUUUGGUCACUUUGCAAAAGAUUGCAAAGUAAAAAGUAAGAUCAAGAGUCUCACUAUUGAUGAUGAUAUUAAAGACUCUUUGUGUAAGAUUUUGCUCAAUUCCUCUCCAAAAAACUCCAGUUCGGACCAUAGUGAUAAUGAGGAAAAUGAUUCAAUCGAUGAGGACUUGCGAGUUCUCUCCACCAAGAAGACUAUAUGCCUUCAGAUGAUGAGUGCAUACUUUGCCAAGAAGGACAACCUUGUACAAACAAGGAGGAUGGGGAUGUUUUAUACAACAUCAUAUCCCAAUUUCAAUAUAUAGAAAUUAAUGUCUUGAAAGAUGACAAAUUAGCAGCUCUACUAGAAAUGCUAAAAGACCUGGGUAAGCAGGAUGAUAAGCCAUCCACCAGUUCUUCCCCUCUUCAGGAGGAAAUGCAUAUUAUUCCCUCCCAAAAAGGUCUUUAUACCAUGACCGAAGUUAAUAAACUUUUAAGGGAAAGACGGAAGGUUGAAGUUAUUCCAGCAACAACCCAGGACCUGAAGAAUGAGAUAGAUAAUCUCAAGAAGGGAAUAUCUUUCCUUAAGAGGCAUAAUUUGGCAUUAGAUCAAAGGGUUUCUGCUUUAGAAAACCCAAAAUUAUUACCCGCUGAGGUAGAUAAGCAGGGCAGGCUGUAACUGCAUUUAAGAAGGUAUGAUACCUUUAAGAUAUUUCAAAAAGACCACUAAUACUGUGAGGAAUGCAAAUGGUCAGAAAAUGGGAGUCGAAUAUAGAAUCCCUAAAGCGUACAUUUGCAAAAACAAAGUUUGUAUGCCUGAAACUUUUGUUUUAGUUAAAGAUAUUACCGAUGAGCUUAUCUUAGGGAAACCUUGGUUUCUACAUUUGUAUUCGUUAGUCCGUUGGGAUGAAAAAGGUAUCAUUGAAACUUUAAUAAUAAACAUAUUCAGUUUGACUGGUGUGAUCCACUCUAUACCAGAUAUUUAAAUCGAUGAGGACCUGCGAGUUCUCUCCACCAAGAAGACUAUAUGCCUUCAGAUGAUGAGUGCAUACCUUGCCAAGAAGGACAACCUUGUACAAACAAGGAGGAUGGGGAUGUUUUAUACAACAUCAUAUCCCAAUUUCAAUAUAUAGAAAUUAAUGUCUUGAAAGAUGACAAAUUAGCAGCUCUACUAGAAAUGCUAAAAGACCUGGGUAAGCAGGAUGAUAAGCCAUCCACCAGUUCUUCCCCUCUUCAGGAGGAAAUGCAUAUUAUUCCCUCCCAAAAAGGUCUAUAUACCAUGACCGAAGUUAAUAAACUUUUAAGGGAAAGACGGAAGGUUGAAGUUAUUCCAGCAACAACCCAGGACCUGAAGAACGAGAUAGAUAAUCUCAAGAAGGGAAUAUCUUUCCUUAAGAGGCAUAAUUUGGCAUUAGAUCAAAGGGUUUCUGCUUUAGAAAACCCAAAAUUAUUACCCGCUGAGGUAGAUAAGCAGGGCAGGCUGUAACUGCAUUUAAGAAGGUAUGAUACCUUUAAGAUAUUUCAAAAAGACCACUAAUACUGUGAGGAAUGCAAAUGGUCAGAAAAUGGGAGUCGAAUAUAGAAUCCCUAAAGCGUACAUUUGCAAAAACAAAGUUUGUAUGCCUGAAACUUUUGUUUUAGUUAAAGAUAUUACCGAUGAGCUUAUCUUAGGGAAACCUUGGUUUCUACAUUUGUAUUCGUUAGUCCGUUGGGAUGAAAAAGGUAUCAUUGAAACCUUAAUAAUAAACAUAUUCAGUUUGAAUGGUGUGAUCCACUCUAUACCAGAUAUUUAAAUUUGAUUAAAGAAAAGAUUAUUUCAAAAAAAUAGGCAGAUGGAAUUUUUGAAAAAUGAAAUUUGGAGUUUGACUAUCAAUGAAACUCUUCAAAAACCAAAAUUACUUGAAAAAAUUGAGUUUCUAAAAAAUCAGUUGUCAAUUAAAAUUUAUGGGGAUCAUCUAAAUGCAUUUUGGCAAAGGAAACAUGUUUUUAGUCUCCCAUAUGAAAAUGAUUUCCAAGAAGGUAAUAUACCGACUAAGGUCAGACCUUGUCAAAUGAGUUCUGACUAUUUAGAAUUAUGUAAAAAAGAAAUUGAAUCUCUUUUUCAUAAGGGCCUGAUUCGACCAUCUAAGUCUCCAUGGUCAUGUACUGCUUUUUAUGUGAAUAAGCAUGCAGAACAAGAACGAGGAGUUCCGAGGUUAGUUAUCAAUUACAAACCUUUGAAUAAAGUCCUCAAAUGGAUUAGAUGUCCAAUUCCCAAUAAGAAGGAUUUAUUAGAUCGUUUGUAUGAUGCUCUAAUAUUUUCAAAAUUUGAUUUGAAAUUAGGUUAUUGGCAAAUCCAGAUAUUAGAAACUACAACAACAACAUACCUAGUGUAUUCCCACCUAGUGGGGUCUGGGGAGGGUAGAGUGUACGCAGAUCAUACCACUACCUCAAGAGAAGUAGAGAUACUGUUUUCGAUAGACCCCUAGCUUAGGACCAAUAACAGUAUAACAAAUACAAAAAGUAAGCGGAUACAAAUUAGUAUGGUACACAAAACAUACUAACAAUAUAACAAACACAAAAGAUAAGUGCAUAAUAAACUAGUACGGGAUGUAAAAAAGCCAACACUACUAAUCCCAAAAACUACAACCCCAUCACUAUGAACCAGAAACUGCAGACCCAAAGGAGCACUCCCCUAUUACUACCGUCGCGCUCCCACUCCCUAACUCUUUAUACUAAUCUGUGUCCUCCACACCUUCCUAUUAAGGGUCAUGUCCUCUGUAAGUUCUAAUUGCUCCAUAUUAUGCCUAAUCACCUUCCUCCAAUAUUUCUUCGGUCUGCCUCUAGCCCGCCUAAAACCAUCCAUAGCCAGCGUCUCACACCUCCGCACUGGAGCAUCAGAGCCCUUCCUCAUUAUAUGCCCGAACCAAUGUAGCCUCACUUCUCGCAACUUAUCCUCUACCGAGGCAACUUUCACCUUCUCCCGAAUAAUCUCAUUCAAAUAAUCUCAUUCCUCACCCUAUCUUUCCUGGUAUGUCCACACAUCCAUCGCAACAUUCACAUCUUUGCCACCUUCACCUUUUGGAUGUGGGAGUUCUUAACUCCGCUCCAUACAACAGAGCCGUCCGGAUUACCACUCUGUAGAAGUUACCUUUAAGCUUCGGGGGCACUUUCUUAUCACAAAGGACUCCCGAAGCGAGCCUCCACUUGCAAAUCCCAAUUGGGCAAAAAUAAUUGAUGCUGAUGCAUCUGACAUUGGAUAUGGUGGAAUUCUCAAGCAAUAUUCCCCAGAAGAAAAAUGUGUUCAUAUUGUUCAAUAUUAUUCUGAAAAAGGGAGUGCUAGCCAAAAAAAAUUAUGCAACUGUAGCUAAAGAAAUUUUUGCUAUAGUUAAAUGUGUUCUUAAAUUUCAAAGUGAUCUUUAUAAUCAAAAGUUCCUAAUUAGGACUGAUUGCCAAGCUGCAAAAUUUAUCUUUAAUAAAGAUUUUAAACAUGAUGUUUCUAAGCAAAUGUUUGCAAGAUGACAGGCUUUGUUAGCCCCAUUUGAUUUUGAAAUCUAAUACUUAAAAGGAUCGGAUAAUAGUCUACCCGAUUUUUUAACCAGUGAAUUUUUAAGCUAAUGUUUUCUCUUAUGGAUUUCAGGAUGGCCUCACGAGGAUCCUCUUCUUCUUCAUUUAGAGGAAGAGGUGGAAGAAAUUCACCAAAAGGCAGAGGUAAUGUCCUCGUCCAAAUUGAAAAUCAGAGGCUGAUAUCCUCGAGCAUUGCAAGCUCAAGUUCUUCUGGUAUGAAUACAGAUGAACAAACAUAUCAAGAAUUUUUUGAAUUCAUGAAAUUCAAGUCUAAGAAAUAUGGGGAUACUGAGGUCCCUUUCGUAUUCAAGUAUUAUUAACGAUGACAAUUGGAAUACUGAGUUGUAUGAAUGCAACAAGACAGAGGAAGUCAUAAUUUUCCUCGAAGACCAUGAUCUUAGAUGGAAAGAUAAUCUUUGGCAGCUGAUGCAAAGGUAUUUGGAUAAUAUAUUUUAUGCUGCGGUAUCUUACAAAUAUCGCAAACAUUAUCAAUCCAUAUAUUAUCUGCAAUGGGUUCUGCAGAAAUCCAACAUUUAUAUGUUAAUGAAGCAGUCAAAAAGGAUUAUAGUUAUUCUAAAAUUAUAAUCAAACAGAUUUUGACUAAUGAAGAAUGAGGCUUGAGUACCCUAAAAGAAAGAAUAUAUACAUCCCGAACAACAGGAAGUUACUGUAAAAUAUAAUUACUGAGAUUAUAUGGAAAGCUUUGAUAAGGUUUUCUUAUGUGAUAAUCUUGAGAGAUCUCAUUCAUGGUUUGUGAAAAUAUGCGCAAAUGUGCACAAACAGAGCAUACCAAAUUGGUUUGCUAAAUGGUGGAUCUUGCAUGGUCCCUUACCAAAUAUAUUGUCUGAGCCAUUUAAAAGUCUGUACAAGGAUUGGAUAGAAGUAUCACCAAUACUUCUAAAAAUGCAAAAAGAUAAUGCAUAUUUUGAAGGAAUAUCUAUGAUGUAUUUCUUUAUUGAAUUUUCAAUUCAGUGGAUCUUGAAGUGGUCUAUAAAGGUAAAAUCAAAUACUAAUAAUUUACCAUGUUUGAUGCGGGUUUAUUAUACAAAAUUUUGGAGUAAAUCAAACCAGCAAACUGGUAACGGUAAUGUCCAUGGUCACCAACUAAUUGAAUCAAUAAAGAUAACUGUUGCAAAAUAUAGACAACAAAAAGAAAUGGAGUCUCCUCAUGAGCAGGAAGAGCUUAGCCCUUUCAAGAACAUCACUAGAAAGCUUCAAAUGAAGAAGGGCACAAUGACAAAAGCUUGAAAUUUGGCAUCCUAUAUGGAAGAAGUCAAAAAAGAUUUAUUGAAAAAUCUUGAUCAGGAGUACACUUUAAAUAUGUCUAUCUUUUCUGUAGGGGAUUGCUUGGCUGGUGAGUCGCAGGAUAUCCAGAGUGAUGAAGAAAUAGAUUUGGAUGAUUAUUUGCGAAAUUUCAAACAACCAUGAAAGAAUCUUCCAGCACUACAAAAAACAAAGUGGAAAAAUGACAUAAGAACAUGGAGGGUCCUGUCAAUGUUGAAAUUAUUGAAAGUUAUGAUGGCAGACAAAAUGAAAACAACUUAAUGAAAAAGCAAGAGUUCAUUUAUGAAUAGUAAAGGACACUUAGCUUUCUGAAAAACAAGGGUCGUUUAUAAAUAGUAAAAGCCAAUUGUGAAUAGUAAGGGUCAUUUCUUGUUUUGUCUUUUGUAUAGAGCAUUCAUUAUAUAAGGAGCUCAUUUUUCAUUUUCCAAGGACAGGUUUUAGAACCACCACUUUCUCUUUACCACUCUCUUUUAUAUAUCUUAGUUUGAAAUAAAAGCUUUUGGUUCUGAGCACAAUCCAUCCAUAUUAAGGUUAUUUUAAAAUUUCUGCAUUUUAAUUUUAAUUUUAACUUUAUUAUCUCUAGCAAAUUCCUAGUGUUGAACUAUAACAGAAUAUGUUACAUGUAUGAAAUGACAUCUUGUUAUUAAUAAGAAUCGUAAACCUCCAUUAUUGCAGAGGUUUGUAUGUUAAGAUGCUGCAAUUAUGAGUCCAAUCUUGACAUUAAUGUCGGAUGUCCCGGUAAAGGCCGAUUAGCCAGGUAGGCGUGAAGGGUCGUAAUUGGGACUUGGUUGAAGAUUGACUUAUGACUAAGGUUAACUAACAUAUAGUAAAAGUACCUAGUGCGACAGUGAAGCAAUCCGGUUCUUGUAUGGUAUCAAAGCCAUGGAAUACUUGUAUACAUAACUGUUAUAUGUUCAACACAUCAUUCCUAAUGAAUAUCAUCAGGAAGAAAAAUACUAUGAAAAAUAGUAAAAAAGAGGAGUAUGAUAUUCCUCGAAACUUGGAUCUGCUUAAUAAGUGGACGGUCCCAAAAGUGCCAUCCAGAAAGUUGUACCAAAUGGGAACUUUCGAGACUUUAGGUCUCAAACAGUUGUUAAAAUAACUAAAGAGACACUUACAGUAGAUAGUGAUCAUGCUACUUUCAAAUUAUUAUCUGAAAGUGAUUUUGCUCCAUAUCAUGAAACAUGUAAGUUUAUGCAUAUUGGUUUAAUUUAAGUCGUAUUUAAACCACCAACCCUGAGAGGUUUGCCUGAAAGCUUUAUUGCAGCUUUAAGAGAUGGCAGAAAUAAAAAUUGGAAGAAGUCUCUUAUUGGGAACGUCCAAACCAGUUUGGCUUAUGGCCCGAUGUAUUUUAAUGCAUAUCCUAAUCUACAGAUAUCUCUCACUGCUGAGAAUUCUUUGGAUGCUUUAAUUUUGAGUAUUAAAUUGCAUGGAUAUAAUUACAUGCCUGGUACUGAGGUUAUAUGUAUUUGCUAUAGGAUAUAUUAUAAACCUCUCCAUACUUUAAAUCCAAUGUGUAGAAUGAUGGAUUUCAAAAAUGAAACUAUUUUAAUAGGAACAAAUUUUUGUAGAUCCAAAGUUGUUACUAGGCGACUUAUAAAAUGAGAUGAAAUUGAUUUUCCAAAAGAAUGGAUCCUUGAGGAUGCAGCUCCUCCUCAAACAGAUCUCAAUGAAGAGAUUUCAGAGGUAGAACAAUCCGCUGAUGGUACUGUUCGAAUCAGAUUUUCUGAUUCAUUACCUCUAUUAAACAGAGUUGAUGAUUUGUUUGUUGCAACAUCAUUGAGAUUAACAAGAUCAACAUCUUCAUACAUAUCUCCUGUUGUUGAUUAUAUUGUUAGAUCUCCCUCUAGAGCUUCUACAUCUCAGAUUAGAGAAAACACUAGAAUGAAUAACAUCAGGAUUGAUAAUGAUAAUAUUGUUACUGCAAUUCCUGAUAUGAAUCCAAUUGAGUCCUAAAUAGAAUUUCCAACUGGUUUAAAAUGAAUCACAGCCAAAUUGAUUUUAGUCCAGGAUCUCUGGCAAGAAAUUUUUUUUUCUAAAGAAUACUAUAAACCUAAAUGGGAAUUGUUCCGAACAUAGUUUUUUCAAAACUGUAGCAAAGAAGAAAAAACUGCUUUCCAGGAAGAGUUCUAUGCAGAUCUUUCUGUGCAUAGUAAAAUAAUUGCUUUCGUGCCCUAAUUUAUGGCCAGAUAUGUGGAUAAUUAUAUUUCCAUGCUAGCUAGGGAGUUUAAAUUACCUACCGGAGAAACUACUGCUUCAGUAUUCUCUCUCCAGCAGUCCUUUCAAAUCGAAAGAGACAACAAGUUAGUUUAUUUUACAGUCUUUGUUAUGAUGAUGGAUAAUGAUACUGCCCUAAUAACUGCCCAAAAUAUCAAUACAAUGCUAAAACAGAAUAACUAUGCUAACUAUUAAAUGAGCAUCUUGGGAGAGCAAAUGAUUUCUCUAUAUAAGUCCUAUCUGAUUUUUGGAUAGAGCUUAGUAUUACUAAGCAAAUAGACCUUAAACUUAAGGACCCUGAGGUCCUGGCUACUCCAACCAUCCAACCUCUCCCUGAAAUCCAAGAUUUCAAGUUAUCUAUUGACUUGGAUAAUAUCAAAAAGUUGCUAGAAGAAAAAUUUCGUGGAUUAAAGAUAAAUCCUAUCCAUGAUGAAAAUUUUGCAGGAGACAACGAUGGGCAUGCUACUCCUGUUGAGAUAAAUAAGAUCUCAGAUAAAUUUGCUAGAAAAGCCUACCCAAAAGAUGUUUUAUUAUCCUAGAUCAACUCUUCAGGAUGUUCUAUUUGAAGAUCAAGGAUUAUAUGUCCUCAAUAGUUUCAGAGGUGAUGAAAUCUACGAGUGGAAUGUAGAUGACUUAUCUGAUAGAUAGAUAUCUAUAAUGGUACAUAGAAUGUUGAUGUACAAUACCAUAUAUAAAGCCCUUUCGAAAACUAAUGAUAGGGGCAUUGCCGAAAUCAGGUUUUACUGGUCAACUUAAAGGCUGGUGGGAUAAUUAUCUUAUCCAAGACCAGAAAACCAAAAUCAUCCAGUCUGUAUAGUAGUACAUGACCAAAGAGAGUUAGAUGGUCGAAUCAGGCCCUUAUGCAAAAGAGAUUAGCCAAUCAUAGGCUAGAGAUAAUAAAGUGUAAAUUAAAAUUAAAAUGCAGAAAUUUAAAAAUAACCUUAAUAUGGAUGGACUGUGCUCAAAACCAAAAACUUUUAUUUCAAACCGAGAUAUAUAUUACAAUGGAAAGAGAGUGGUGGUUCUAAAACUUGUCUUUAAAAAAUGAAAAAUGUGCUCCUUAUAUAAUGGAUGCUCUAUACAAAAGACAAAGCAAGAAAUGACCUUUACUAUUCAUAAUCGACCUUUAGAGGGACAUCGAACCGGAUCGCUUCACUGUCGCACUAGGUACUUUUACUAUAUGUUAGUUAACCUUAGUCAUGAAUCAAUCUUAAACCAAGUCCCAACUACGGUCCUUCACGCCCACCUAGCUAAUCGGCCUUUACAGGGACAUCCGGCAUUAAUGUCAAAAUUGAACUCAUAAUUGCAGCAUCUUAACAUACAACCUCUGCAACAAUCGAGGUUUAUGAUUCUUAUUAAUAACAAGAUGCCAUUUCAUACAUGUAACAUAUUCUGUUAUAGUUCAACACUAGGAAUUUAGCCCAUCAUAGGCUAGAGAUAAUAAAGUUAAAAUUAAAAUUUAAAUGCAGAAAUUUAAAAAUAACCUUAAUAUGGAUGGAUUGUGCUCAGAACAAAAAGAUUUUAUUUCAAACCAAGAUAUAUAUUAUAAGGAAGAGAGAGUAGUAGUAGAGAGAAAGUGGUGGUUCUAAAACCUGUCCUUAAAAAAAUAAAAAAUGAGCUCCUUAUAUAAUAGAUGCUCUAUACAAAAGACAAAACAAGAAAUGACCCUUACUAUUCACAAUUGGCUUUUACUAUUUAUAAACGACCCUUGUUUUUUCAAAAAGCUAAGUGUCCUUUACUAUUCAUAAAUGACUCUUGCUUUUUCAUUAAGCUGUUUUCAUUUUGUCUGCCAUCAUAGCUUUUAAUAAUUUCAACAUUGGCGGGACCCUUCAUGUUCUUAUGUCAUUUUCCCCUUUGUUCUUUGCAGUGCUGGAAAAUUCUUCUAUGGUUGUUUGAAAUUUUCGCAAAUAAUCAUCCAGAUCUAUUUCUUCAUCACUCUGGAUAUCCUGCAGGUCACCAGCCAAGCAAUCCCCUGCAGAAGAGAUGGACAUAUCUGAAGUGUACUCCUGAUCAAGAUUUUUCAAUAAAUCCUUUUUGACUUCUUCCAUAUAGGAUGCCAAAAUCUCAGCUUUGGUCAUUGUGCCCUUCUUUAUUUGGAACUUUCUAGUGAUGUUCUUGAAAGGCUAAGCUCUUCCUGUUCAUGAGGAGACUCCAUUUCUUUUUGUUGCCUAUAUUUUGCAACAGUCAUCUUUAUUGAUUCAAUUAGUUGGUGACCAUGGACAUUACCGUCACCGGUUUGCUGGUUUAGUUUACUCCAAAAUUUUGUAUCAUAAGCUCGCAUCAAACAUGCUAAAUUAUCAGUAUUUGAUUUUACCUUUAUGGACCACUUCAAGAUCCAUGAAAUUGAAAAUUCAAUAAAGAAAUAUAUCAUAAAUAUUCCUUCAAAAUAUGCAUUAUCUUUUUGCAUUUUUAGAAGUAUUGGUGAUACUUCUAUCCAAUCUUUGUACAAACUCUUAAAUGGCUCAGGCAAUAUCUUUGGUGAGGGACCAUGCAAGAUCCACCAUUUAGCAAACCAAUUUGGUAUGCUCUGUUUGUGCACAUUUGCACAUAUUUUCACAAACCAUGAAUGAGAUAUCUCAGGAUUCUCACAUAAGAAAACCUUCUCAAAGCUUUCCAUAUAAUUCCAGUUAUUAUAUUUUACAGCAACUUUCUGCUGUUCGGGAUGUAUAUAUUCUCUUUCUUUUAGAGUACUAAAGCCCCAUUCUUCAUGAGUCAAAAUCUGUUUGAUUAUAAUUUUAGAAUAACUAUAAUCCUUUUGGACUGCUUCAUUAGCAUAUAAAUGUUGGAUUUCUGCAGAACCCAUUGCAGAUAAUAUGGAUUGAUAAUGUUUGCGAUAUUUGUAAGAUAUCGCAACAUAAAACGUAUUAUCUAAAUACCCUUGCAUCAGCUGCCAAAGAUUAUCUUUCCAUCUAAGAUCAUGAUUUUCGAAGAAAAUUAUGACUUCCUCUGUCUUGUUGCGUUCAUACAACCCAGUAUUCCUAUUGUCAUCUUUAAUAAUACUUGAAUACGAAGGGACCUCAUUAUCCCCUUGUUUCUUAGACUUGAAUUUCAUGAAUUCUAAAAAUUCUUGAUAUGUCUGUUCAUCUGUAUUCAUACCAGAAGAACUUGAGCUUCCAAUGCUCGAGGAUAUUAGCCUCUGAUUUUCAAUUUGGGCGAGGACAUUACCUCUGCCUUUUGGUGAAUUUCUUCCACCUCUUCCUCUGAAUGAAGAAGAAGAUCCUCGUGAGGCCAUCCUGAAAUCCAUAAGAGAAAACAUUAGCUUAAAAAUUCACUGGUUGAAAAAUCGGGUAGACUAUUAUCCGAUCCUUUUAAGUAUUAGAUUUCAAAAUCAAAUGGGCUAACAAAGCCUGCCAUCUUGCAAAUAUUUGCUUAGAAACAUCAUGUUUAAAAUCUUUAUUAAGAUAAAUUUUGCAGCUUGGCAAUCAAUCUUAAUCAGGAAAUUUUGAUUCCAAUGAUCGCUUUGGAAUUUAAGAACACAUUUAACUAUUACAAGAAUUUCUUUAGCUACAGUUGCAUAAUUUUUCUGGCUGGCACUCCAUUUUUCAGAAUAAUGUUGAACAAUAUGAACACGUUUUUCUUCUGGGGAAUAUUGCUUGAGAAUUCCACCAUAUCUAAUGUUUGAAGCAUCAAUAUCUAUUAUUUUUGUCCAAUUGGGAUUUGCAAGUGUAAGGCAUGGUAGAUUUUCAACUUUAGCCUUAAUAUUUCUUACCACAGUAGUAUAGCUCAACGGAUACAGUUGUAGAAACCAAGGUUUCCCUAAGAUAAACUCAUCAGUAAUAUCUUUAACUAAAACAAAAGUUUCAGGCAUACAAACUUUGUUUUUGCAACUGUACACUUUAGGGAUUUUAUAUUCGACUCCUUUUUUUUGACCACUUGCGUUCCUCACAGUAUUAGUGGUCUUUUCGAAAUAUUUUGAAGGUAUCAUACCUUCUUGAAUGCAGUUACAACCUGCCCCACUAUCAAUGAGAGCUGUAAAUUCCUUCUUAUAGUUGUAAUCAAUAAGAAGGGUGACCUUAGCAUAGAAGUGUUGGUGAGCAGCUCCUUCUAAGGUUUUAAGGAAAUCUCCAUUAGGGAGAGUUUGACUAUCCUCAGUGGGUAAUAAUUUUGAAUUUUCUAAAGCAGAAACCCUUUGAUCUAAUGCCAAAUUAUGACUCUUAAGGAAAGAUAUUUCCUUCUUGAGAUUAUCUAUGUCAAUCUUCAGGUCCUGGGUUAUUGCUGAAAUAACUUCAGUCAUGGUAUAAGGACCUUUUUGGGAGGGAAUAAUAUGCAUUUCCUUUUGAAUAGGGGAAGAACUAGUGGAUGGCUUAUCAUCUUGCUUACUCAGGUCUUUUAGCAUUUCUAGUAGAGCUGCUAAUUUGUCAUCUUUCAAGACAUUAAUUUCUAUAUCUUGAAAUUUGGAUAUGAUGUUGUAUAAAACAUCCUCCUCCUCCUUGGUUUACAAGGUUGUCCUUCUUGGCAAGGUAUGCACUCAUCAUCUGAAGGCAUAUAGUCUUCUUGAUGAAGAAUUCGCAGGUCCUCAUCGGUUGAAUCAUUUUCCUCAUUAUCACUAUGGUUUGGACUGGAGUUUUCCGGAGAGGAAUUGAGCAAAAUCUUACACAGAGAGUCUUUAAUAUCAUCAUCAAUAGUGAAACUCUUGAUCUUGCUUUUUACUUUGCAGUCUUUUGCAAAGUGACCAAAUCUACCAUAUCGGUAACAAGUGUUGGCCUUCUUGGCUUUUCUAUAAGUCUUUUUGGAUUUGCAAUACUUUUUUUUUCCUUUUUCUCAUUCUUUUUCGAUUUUUUCUCCUCAGAUUACUUUUUCUUACUCUUAUGAGAUUCUCUAGAGGUUUUGGAAAUAUCUAUGACAAAUUGCUCACAAAAUUCUCCCAGCUGUUGUCUCUCAGUAAGACGAUACUUCUUAAUCUGUUGGUUUAACUUAAUCUCACUACAUAAUGCUAAACCUUCUUGAGUAACAACCUUUAUAAGGUUACCGUAGGUGUAAGCCUCAUAGUUAAUACUCACAUUUGGACCUUUAAGGGUUUUCCUAAUUCUUUCAGCAAAUAACAUGAGGAGACCAUAUAUAAACUUGGACUUCCAAUGAGAACUAUUACUCUCAGGUAAUUUCAUCACUCUAGAAAGGAAUACAUCUUUAUAUCAUCUCCAAGAUGUCAAAGUCUUACAUCUAAGAUUUUGGAGCAGAGUCCUAAUACUAUCACUAUUAUCGGAUCAUCUUCUAGAAAAGUGUUCAAUAUUAUUAAUAAUUAGAGUAUAAACAACGUUCAUGACCUCUUGACCAUCUUCUCUCUUUACUAUAGACUGGAUGAUUUUGGCUUUUUGGUCUUGGGUAAGAUAAUUAUUCCACCAGCCUUUAAGCUGACCAGUAAAACCUGCCGUAAUCAUUUCGGCAAUGCCCCUAUCAUUAGCUUUCAGAAGGGCUUUACAUAUGGUACUGUACAUCAACAUUCUAUGUGCCAUUGUGGAUAAGCCAUAUACAUUCCACUCGUAGAUUUCAUCACCUCCGAAACUAUUGGGGACAUAUAAUCCUUAUUCUUCAAAUAGAAUAUUCUGAGGAGUUGGUCUAGGAUAAUAAAACAUCUUUUGGGUAGGGUUUCUAGCAAAUUUAUGUGAGAUCUUAUUUAUCUCUACAGGAGUAGUAUGCCUACCGUUGUCUCCUGCAAAAUUUUCAUCGUGGAUAGGAUUUAUCUUUAAUCCACGAAAUUUUUCUUCUAGCAACUUUUCAAUAUUAUCCAAGUCACUAGAUAACUUGAAAUCUUGGAUUUCAGGGGGAGGUUGGAUGGUUGGAGUAGUCAGGACCCCAGGGUCCUUAAGUUUAAGGUCUAGUUGCUUAGUAUUACUAAGCUCAAUCCUUUUUAAAUCAGAUAGGACCUUAUCAAUUUUCUCAUGUAGAGAAAUUAUUUGCUCUCCCAAGGUGCUCAUAUAAUAGUUAGCAUAGUUAUGUUGUUUUAGCAUUGUAUUGACAUUUUGGGCAGUUAUUAGGGCAGUAUCAUUAUCCAUCAGCUUAGCAAAAGCUGUAAAAUGAACUACCUUGUUGUCUCUUUCGAUUUGAAAGGGCUGGUGGGGAGGGAAUACUGUAGUAGUUUCUCUAGUAGGUAAUUUAAACUCCCUAACUAGCAUGGAAAUAUAAUUAUCCACAUAUCUGGCCAUAAACCAGGGCACAAAAGCAAUUAUUUUACUAUGCACAGAAAGAUCUGCAUAGAGUUUUUCCUGGAAAGCAGUUUUUUCUUCUUUACUAAAGUUCUAAAAAAAUUAUGUACGGAACAAUUCCCAUCUAGGUUUAUAGAAUUCUUUAGAAAUUCUUUUUCUUGUCAGAGAUCCUGGACUAAAAUCAAUUUGGUUGUGAUUCAUUUUAAACCAGUUGGAAAUUUCAUUUCGGAUUCAGUUGGAUCCAUAUCAGGAAUUACAGUAACAAUAUUAUUAUUAUCAAUCCUGAUGCGAUUCAUUCUAGUGCUUUCUCUAAUCUGAGAUGUAGAAGCUCUAGAGGGAGAUCUAACAAUAUAAUCAACAGGAGAUAUGUAUGAAGAUGCUGAUCUUGUUAAUCUUGAUGAUGUUGCAACACACAAAUCAUCAGCUCUGUUUAAUAGAGGUAAUGUAUCAGAAAAUCUGAUUCGAACAGUACUAUCAGCAGAUUGUUCUACCUCUGAAAUCUCUUCAUUGAGAUCUGUUUGAGGAGGAGCUGCAUCCUCAAGGAUCCAUUCUUUUGGGAAAUCAAUUUCAUUCCAUUUUAUAGGUCGCCUAGUAACAACUUUGGAUCUACAAAAAUUUGUUUCCAUUAAAAUAGUUUCAUUUUUGAAAUUCAUCUUUCUACACAUUGGAUUUAAAGUAUGGAGAGGUUUAUAAUAUAUCCUAUAACAAAUACAUAUAACCUCAGUACCAGGCAUGUAAUAAUAUCCAUGCAAUUUAAUACUCAGAAUUAAAGCAUCCAAAGAAUUUUCAUUAGUGAGAGAUAUCUGUAGAUUAGGAUAUGUAUUAAGAUACACCGGGCCAUAAGCCAAACUGGUUUGAACUGUCCCAAUAAGAGACUUCUUUCAAUUUUUAUUUCUGCCAUCUCUUAAAACUGCAUGAAAGCUUUCAGGCAAACCUCUCAAGAUUAGUGGUUUAAAUGCGAUUUGAAUUAAAUCAGUAUGCAUAAACUUACAUGUUUCACGAUAUGGAGCAAAAUCACUUUCAGAUAAUAAUUUGAAAGUAGCAUGAUCACCAUCUACUGUAAAUGUCUGUUAAGUUGUUUUAACAACUUGUUUGAGAGCUAAAGUCUCGAAAGUUCCCAUUUGGUACAACUUUCUGGGUGGCACUUUUGGGAUCGUCCACUUAUUAAGCAGAUCCAAGUGCUGAGGAAUAUCAUAUUAAACAGAUCCAAGUGCUGAGGAAUAUCAUACUCCUCUUUCUUACUGUUUUUCACAAUAUUUUUCUUCCUGAUGAUAUUCAUUAGGAAUGAUGUGUUGAACAUAUAACAGUUAUGCAUACAAGUAUUUCAUGACUCUGAUACCAUACAAGAACCGGAUCGCUUCACUGUCGCACUAGGUACCUUUACUAUAUGUUAGUUAAAAUAAUAAUAAUAAUAAUAAUAUGAGAAUAAAAAUUAUAAUGUUUAAAUAAAGGAAUAAACAUUGAAUUUUAUGUUAAUCUUUUGAAAACAUGUCUUUCACAUUAAGAUGACCUUUUUUUUUUUUUCAUGUAUUAAUUAAUUUAAUUUAGACUAAAGAGAAUUUUCUUAAACAUAAAAAAGAAAUAGUUUUUUUUUUCUUCAAUUAGUUAGCUAAAAAUAGACUAUUGAACAAAAUAAAAGCUAUUUAAAAAAAAUCACUCGAUUCAGGUUUGAUAUUUUCAUAAUAAAUAAAUAAAUAAAUUCGUAAAGUUAGCCACCCUAUUAAGUUAGUUAAAAUAUUUUGGUCAACCGUUUUAAAACAGUGGUUCUUAAAUGCCUUAAAACUCUUCUUAGGACGUUAAUUGAACUCUUAUCUAUUUUCUCUAAUUUUAAAAGUUUAUUUCUGUUUUUGAACCUUUUAAAUUUUUUAAAGUUUUUUUUGAUUUUUCUAUAAAAAUUAAGUGGCGACUCUAAAAAUGAUUUAAGAAGUCAAGAAUCAUUUUCUUUCAAAUAAUUUAUCUUUCCUUUGAUAAAUCCAAAAAAGAUAAAACAAUUAAUUUGUUUAAAAUAAAAAGUUAUACUUAUAUUUUUAUUGGGUUCUGUUUUCCUAGUUUUUUUUUCGCGCACGAUUUUAUUUUAGUCUUGUUUCAGUUAGAUCAUUGUAGUGUAGUAUUUGUUAGGAUUUACAUUCUAGUUAUUUAUUUAAUUUUUUUUGUAUCGAAAUAGUGAAGCAAGAGUCAGUAUGAUUACAAAAAUUUUCAAGUCUCAAAUCACUUCAGAUUUUGCUUUAGUAUGCUCUCUUCCAUGUCCAGUUAUUCUCAAAUCACAGCGAUGUUACUUCUUCUGGACCAUAUCAAAUAAAGACAAAAAAAAAAAGAGAAUAUUUGGAUUUUCUUGAAUCCGACCUUGUUAAAAAAAAAUAAAAUUUCAGAUUAUCAUCCUAAUCUGCGUGAUAGGGCAAUGAUAUAUUAAAAAAAAGACCUUGUAAAUUUUGAGAAUCCAUGAAUUUAAAAUUUUGAAUCCCUCUAUCAAUUUACAGAUUUUUUAAAUGUAAAAAUGAAGAUAUCUAUGUAUAAAAGUAAAUACAUAUCUAUAAUGUAAAAGUGAACAUCUCUCUUAAAAGAUAUAAAACUUAAAAUAAUGUGACCUAAAAGUAAAUUCUCAUAAUAAACUGCUUUGAUGGUUUUCAUUUCUUUAUUAGUUAAAUACUAGUAAUAAGAAAGAUGAUUGGGUGUCUCUUAGGGUAUACUAGUAUCUGCGCAAUGUGCGGAUAAUAUUUAAAGAAAAUAAUAAUAAAAAUAUAGAUUAAAAAAAUAGUUUAGAUCUACAAAUUUACCAAAUGAAUAUGAAGAAAAGUCAAAAUUUUCUAUUAAAAAAAGCAAUCAGUUGAUUCCCAAUUAUAUUUCUUACAUUUUUCUUUUAUCAUAUAUGUUUUCUAGUGAUACUAUUUUAUCAAAAGUUUAUAAUUUAACGAUGAUGAAAUUUACUACUCAAUAACUUACUUUUUGUUUCAAAUUCUUAUUGUCUUACUCAUUAGAUAAUCCUACAACAAUAAAUUAUAUCUAAAUAGAGAAGUUAUCAAACUUACCAAAUUAUUUUUCUCACGAAAAAAGAAUAUUGUGUAAAUUCAUUUUAGCAAAUGAUUUUCUUGUUUCAAGCAUAUGUUGUGAAUGGAGUAUUUAACCUUCUAAUGCGCUUUUUCUUUUACCGAUUUCUUAUAAGUAAAAAUGAAAAUCUCUCUAUAUAAAAAUGAAUACAUAAAAGUUAACAUCUCUUGUAAAAAGGAUAUGAAACUAAAAAAAUGUGACCUAAAAGUAAAUUCUCACAAUUAACUGCUUUGAUGAUCUUCAUUUCAUUAUUAGUCAAAUACUAGCUAGUAAUAAGAAAGAUGAUUGGGUGUGUUUUAGGGUAUAUUUUCUUACGCUAAUUGAUUUCCUAGUAGUAGAUCUCAAAAGGUGAUCUCUAAUAUUAGAUUUUUCAGGAAUAUCUAUAUUAGAGAUCCACUUAGGGGUUCAAUUUCUUUCCACUUUGGAAGAAAAAUAAGAGAACCACUUAUGGAGUUAAUUUCUUUUCUUUUUGGAAGAAAUAUAAUUACCAUCUUGCUGUAUUUUUUCUUUAACAAAUUUCUUUUUAAAUAGUGUUUAAGGAUAGGUUAUUUAACUUGAUCUUUUUUGUUGAAUUUAUAUCACUAGAUAGAGCAUCUAUUGAUUCUUUUAGUAAUACUUGGUAAAAUAAAAUUUCAAUGUAAACAAGAACAAAUAAGUGACCGGGGAUAGACCUUACUGUACCAAUCAGACAACCUUAAUGAGGUAACGAAUUAGAGGUAGUAUUGACCUUACUUUUUUCUUCUCUCAUUUUCACAUCAAUAACCAAAUAUAUACGCAAUUAAGUUCAGUUUCAGCAACUUUAGGGAUAUUGUUUUUCUUCUAGUCUCUAGAGUAAAAAAGUUCGUACACUUUAAAAAAAAAAAAGAAAAUAAAUCUUAUCUAACUUUUUAAAGUGAAAUUUAUUCAAUUCCAUUCCAAGGAAAUAUAUUUUUCAUCUUACUAUAAUCGUUGCCACUAUUUGAACUACAUUUUCGUAUAAAUUUUUAACACGAAAUUAUUGAGUCUUAAGGUGGACUAAACACAACAACAAUAACAUGCCCAGUAUAUUUCCACCAAGUGGGGUUUGGGGAGGGUAAGCGUACGAAGUACAUAUCACUACCUCAGAUGUGAGAUAGAGAGGCUAUUUCCGAUAGACCCCCGGCUCAAAAUAAAACAAUCUAGACAAAGAAAGAGUCAGAUGCUAUAAUAGCUCAAAAACAAUCUUUCAUCAUGUGAUUUCAAGAUUAGUUUAUGCAGCUAAACCAAAUCGCAUACACCACAAAAGAAUAGAAACCAAAAACCUUAAAAAGGACAACAAAUACUAUAAGAUCAGAUGCUAUAAGGUGGACUAAAAACAAAAUUCGAUUUAUCCGUUAAGGAAAAAAAAUACUUCGCUGUAAAUGCAUCCAUUCAAUUUGCCCCAUUUUCACCUAAAUUGGUCAAAAUACAUAGUUUUUUUUUACUUUUCGUGAAAAAUUAUAUAUGUAGAGCAACUAAUUAUAUAUUGCCUAAAUGCAAUGAAUCACACUUCUCUUUGUAGGUAUAGAAUAUAGAUAGAGCGUUAUGUACAUUGGUUUAAUACUUCAAUCGAAUCAUACAACUAAUUAAUCAAUUCAAAUAUCUUUUAAUUCAAUAUUCCUUCCUUAUUAUUCGUGGUUCUUAAUUUGUCAACGGAAAAGGUACGAAUAUACCCUUGAAUUUUGAUAAAUGGUAUAGAUAUACUCCUCGUUAUACUCUAGGUACAUAUGUACCCUCGCCGUUAAUGAAAAUGUAGGAAUAUACCCUUAUCACUAACGGAGGGAUACGUGUCGAUUUUCUAUUCUCUAGUCUUUUCUAAUUAAAUUCAGUUAAAAUAAAUUUCAAAUCCAACCCAAAUUAAAAUUAAACCCGACCCAAAUUAAAACACCACCCGUUUAUGAAUCCCGGGCUUCUAGGAAAGUUGAUAAAGCCAUCAAGAGCAUCUGGAUCGUGGUGCAGGCUUGCAUUUUUUGGUGUAUUUAGCGUGAAAGGAAUCUUAGAUGUUACAAUGCAGUAUCAACUCCCUAACAUCUGGGUUUUUGAUUAGCCGUUUUAGUUGGGGAAAUCUUUCCCCAGUAAAUAAUCUGACCACUAUUUGGAACUUGUCAUCUCCUUAGUUUUAUUAUACUCUUUGUGUUUCAGAGCUGAUAUUUUCUCAGUUUGGAAUUUCUGCAUCUUCUUGAUGCCUUUAAAUGGUAGUUCACUUAUUUCAUCAAAAAAAAAACUGCUGAUUUUGACCUUUAAAUCUUUAAUGUUUUUUCAGUUUGGUUUUGACCAAUAUCUCUCCUGACGUUUACAAUCCAUGAGACUUUUCGAGUUUAGUUCUGAUAUCAGUGUGAAUAUAUUGAUUUAAGGAGUGAGGAAAAAUUCUCUGGAAAUCCUUAGCAGUUGUACGUUUGAGUUGGCUAGUGUAAUGAUUACAGUUGAUGUCUCGUAUGAAAGACUUAAACUAUUGAUAUUGUACCCUCAUGUUUCUGUUGUUUUUCUGCAGCUUGCAAUUUUGCUGAAGGCAGGUGGAUUGCAGACAGAAGGCGACCAUUGCAGACAGUCGGGUGGUGUUUUAAUUUGGGUCGGGUUUGAUUUUAAUUUGGAUUGGAUUUGGAAUUUAUUUUAACUGAAUUUAAUUAAAAAAGGCUAGUGAAUAGAAAAUCGACACGUGUCUCUCCGUUAAUGAUAAGGGUAUAUUUGGACAUUUUCAUUAAUGGCGAGGAUAUAUAUGUACCUAAAUUAUAACGAGGGGUAUAUCUGUGCCAUUUAUCAAAGUUCGGGAUAUAUUCGUACCUUUUCCGAUUUGUCAAUGCUAAUUUAAGUAUGUUUUCACCACUCAGACUUUCUUGAGUAAGUUUGAGAAUCCACAAAGGAAAUACUGAAUUUCAUAUUUUCCCUAAUCAUUUGAUUACAAUUAAUAAAACAAUAAUUAUUAUGUGGAAGUUAGUUGUUUACUAAUUCCCAACACAUAUCAAAGAUGCAUACAUUUUAGUAGUAGAUUUUGAAGCAUCAAAGUCUGGUCAAUAUCUUAAGAUUUUUUUUCUCUCCGAAAACAAUAAAUUUUAUUUUGUUUUUAAGCUCUCGAGCAAGAAGAAUAAAUAAGAAAUGCACUAUCCGUCGUUGUGUAUAUGUUUUCUUUUUUUAAGAAGAUAUAUAAAAUUUUGGGGGUGGUUUAUUUUAGAGACAAAUAAUGAAAAAUUGUAAUAUAAGACUUAGUAAUGCAAAACUUGUAAUGUAUGGACUAUUUUUUGUCGAUCAUUUAGUUUGAUACAUUACAUGUUAUCGUGC
RNAcentral lists this long non-coding RNA (23832 nucleotides) under Capsicum annuum. Its description in RNAcentral is "long non-coding RNA (CANN_LNC016191)". Lineage: Eukaryota; Viridiplantae; Streptophyta; Magnoliopsida; Solanales; Solanaceae. The record is from RNAcentral.